Molecule: non-coding RNA, 119 nt
Organism: Picea glauca (white spruce)
Lineage: Eukaryota; Viridiplantae; Streptophyta; Pinopsida; Pinales; Pinaceae
Source: Rfam
GCGUGCAAUCAUACCAACAUUAUUGAACCAGAUCCCAUCAGAACUCCAUAGUUAAGCCCGCUUGGGUUAGAGUAGUACUAGGAUGGGUGACCUCCCGUGAAGUCCUAGUGUUGAACCCU